This 437-nucleotide ribosomal RNA is filed under the name uncultured Clostridium sp. RNAcentral's name for it is "partial 16S ribosomal RNA". It matches the Rfam family "Bacterial small subunit ribosomal RNA", at positions 341 to 792 of the family's 1533-position model. Lineage: Bacteria; Bacillati; Bacillota; Clostridia; Eubacteriales; Clostridiaceae. The record is from RNAcentral.
ACGGGAGGCAGCAGUGGGGGUUAUUGCGCAAUGGGGGAAACCCUGACGCAGCAACGCCGCGUGCAGGAAGACGGCCUUCGGGUUGUAAACUGUUGUCGCAAGGGAAGAAGACAGUAACGGUACCUUGUGAGAAAGCCACGGCUAACUACGUGCCAGCAGCCGCGGUAAUACGUAGGUGGCAAGCGUUGUCCGGAUUUACUGGGUGUAAAGGGCGCGUAGGCGGGCUUUCAAGUCAGAUGUGAAAUACCGGGGCUUAACUCCGGGGCUGCAUUUGAAACUGUAAGUCUUGAGUAUCGGAGAGGAAAGCGGAAUUCCUAGUGUAACGGUGAAAUGCGUAGAUAUUAGGAGGAACACCAGUGGCGAAGGCGGCUUUCUGGACGACAACUGACGCUGAGGCGCGAAAGCGUGGGGAGCAAACAGGUUUAGAUACCCUGGUA